This is a long non-coding RNA of Dinoponera quadriceps, 1688 nucleotides long. RefSeq lists it as uncharacterized. The transcript has 3 exons. Lineage: Eukaryota; Metazoa; Arthropoda; Insecta; Hymenoptera; Formicidae. The record is from RefSeq and is a predicted model, not a curated record.
UAACCGAGAAGCCGAUGCAACCGCACGGUCCAACACGCGUGCUUCUGUUUCCGACGCGUAGCGCGAGCGUUCGUCGCCUCCUGCAGUUCGCGGCAGUGUGAGUCAGUGAGAUCACGCGGCGACAUGCUAAAUAUAAUUGACACGAGCGUGUGCAACGAUGUCGACGAUGUCGACGACGAUGUCGACGACGACGACGACAACACGCGUCCGACAACGGGAACACCGAGCCCGAGUGGAGGAAGAGGCUGCUGCUUCUUCUUUUUCUCGUCCUCACGAUCGAACCGUCAGUGAUCGAUAUUCGUCAUAUCGAGAGCGACCGAAGAUCGGACGCUUCGUCGCGGGAGCGCUCGCGCGGAAUCGCGUUCCGACCCGCUAAAUAUAGCGAGCGCGGACUCGCGAUUAUUUCGGUAUUCGCAGCGGCGCGCAGCUGCGAUUCGUCGCGAGUGUGAUAUCGAGAGGAUUUCGAGGCCGAACAGAGAAAAAGAGAGAGAAAGAGAGAGAGAGAGAGAGAGAGAGAGAGGAUGAUCUCGAGCGAGCCGGCGACGGAGGUGGCGGCGACUACGGAAGGAAUACGCACGGCCGGUCCGAAUCGACGAUGUCCGCUCGUGGGUGACGGGCGGGCGCCGAAGGGAGGAAGAGGAGGAUGGAUGCGCUCUAAUAUGCAGAAACCAUGAAGAACGUCGGCCACUACCAUGACGCAAUUUCCGGGUGUCUCUAUCGGAGUUGGCGCACCCAGGAAAACGGCCGAUGCCCGCCUGGUACCCGUCACCCGCUCUCUUUCGAGCCGUUUUGUUUUCCUUCUUCUCGUCACCCUUUCUAUUUUGCUUCUUUCUUUCUUUCUCCUUUUUUCUUUUUUUUUCUUUUUUUAACACAGCGAGAUUAGACCCGCAGGAAAGUUUCGGGAGAAAAAUCGAAAUCCCGCGCGCGAGAAGACGCGAGAUGCUUUCCCUUCCUCAUCGCCGUCGUCGUACUGCGGAACUUCAUCGGCGAAGUGUCCGACGAAAAUUGGAAUUUGCCGGUUUCGCCCGACCUCGUGUCGCCGAGGACGCUGCAACACGGUGACGUUAUUUUUCCGCCGAGAGAGUCUAGGAUUUUUUGAACGGAAUAUUUCGAGAUACAUGUUCUCGUAAAUACCGGAGAAACGAGCAACGAGAGAAAAUGUCUAGCAGAGAAAGAGAAAGAGAGAGAGAGAGAGAGAGAGAGAGAGAGAGCGAGAGAGAGAAAAGGAAAACCGGCAGCCAGAGCCAGGAAUUUACGCGUCCUAUUUGCGUGUUUACCUGCGCGACUUAUCCCUUAAAUGCGUCGCGUCGCAGAUCUGCAACAGUUCAUAAUUUCGCUUGCAUCUCCUUGCGACACCGGCGUCGCUACGUUUACCAGAAAAAAAUGUAUAAUGUACAAUUUCGCGCAUUUGCGAUAAACGAAUUUUCGUGUGAACGGCGGCGCAUCAGAAAUUACUCGCGACAUUUCUCCUCGUUUAUCGCGUCGGGUGGAAAAUUAAUCUCUAUUAAAAAAUAUUAUUUGUGCGUAUAUCUUGAAUCGAAGCGCGCGCGGACUAUGCCCGGCGGCUCCAAGAUCGAAUACUGCGCCGGACUCAACGCUAGACGAGAGAAUACGUUAAAAUAUCAAUCAUACAAAUAUUAUUCUUCAAUUUUGAAUUCAAUAAAACUCGCGAGACUUUUUUCUCCUUA